UACGGAGGGUGCAAGCAUUGAUCGGAAUUACUGGGCGUAAAGGGCGCGUAGGCGGCUCUGUAAGUCGGACGUGAAAUUCCGGGGCUCAACCCCGGAGCUGCGUUUGAAACUACAAGGCUAGAGUGCAGUUAGGGUAAACGGAAUUCCACGUGUAGCGGUGAAAUGCGUAGAUAUGUGGAAGAACACCGGUGGUGAAGACGGUUUACUGGGCUGAUACUGACGCUGAGGCGCGAAAGCAUGGGGAGCAAACAGG
Molecule: ribosomal RNA, 253 nt
Filed under: uncultured bacterium
Lineage: Bacteria
Description: partial 16S ribosomal RNA
Rfam family: Bacterial small subunit ribosomal RNA
Source: RNAcentral